Grammomys surdaster is the source of this 104-nucleotide small nuclear RNA. The record is from RefSeq and is a predicted model, not a curated record. NCBI's taxonomy places the organism in Eukaryota, Metazoa, Chordata, Mammalia, Rodentia, Muridae.
GUGUUCCUUUCAGCAAUACAUAUACUAGAAUUAGAAAGAUACAGAGCUUAGCACAGUCCCUGUGAAAGAAUGACAUACAAAUCUGUGAAACACUUCUUAUUUAA